Molecule: ribosomal RNA, 372 nt
Filed under: uncultured bacterium
Lineage: Bacteria
Description: bacterial SSU rRNA
Rfam family: Bacterial small subunit ribosomal RNA
Source: RNAcentral
AUAACCUUGCGAAAGUAAGACUAAUACCCGAUGAUAUCUCUAGAAGACAUCUGAAAGGGAAGUUAAAGAUUUAUCGGUGAUGGAUGGGAGUGCGUCUGAUUAGCUUGUUGGCGGGGUAACGGCCCACCAAGGCAACGAUCAGUAGGGGUUCGUGAGAGGAAGGUCCCCCACCAUUGGAACUGAGACACGGUCCAAACUCCUACGGGAGGCAGCAGUGAGGAAUAUUGGUCAAUGGGCGAGAGCCUGAACCAGCCAAGUAGCGUGCAGGAUGACGGCCCUAUGGGUUGUAAACUGCUUUUAUUAAGGGAAUAAAGUGAGAGUCGUGACUCUUUUUGUCAUGUACCUUAUGAAUAAGGACCGGCUAAUUCCGUG